RNAcentral lists this long non-coding RNA (362 nucleotides) under Salvia miltiorrhiza (redroot sage). RNAcentral's name for it is "long non-coding RNA (SMIL_LNC000348)". Lineage: Eukaryota; Viridiplantae; Streptophyta; Magnoliopsida; Lamiales; Lamiaceae. The record is from RNAcentral.
AGGAAAGAACCAUAAAUAAAAAAAGAACGGAGAACCAUUUUCAGCCAUUCGAUCAUCAAGAUCUACGGUGGAUGCAUCAUCUUGUUGGAUGAAUGCAGAUCCUGGGUUCGAAUCCUGAAGGGAGCAAUUUUUUUUAUUUUUUUGAGUGCAUUAAUUUUAACAGCGAAUGCAUUAAUUUUUACAGUGAAUGCAUUAGAUUUGAUGGUUCUCCCAUUCUCACAAAUAAUGUAGUUCUCUCUAGAACCGCAUCCUAUAUAUGUCUGUGUAUCUUUUGUUUUUCAUGUUUGUUUUUUUCGCCGCCAUCUUGCCGGCCGGAGUAAGAUAGAGAGCAAGUUUGAGUGCCCAUGGGGUUACAAAUCGAU